This 378-nucleotide ribosomal RNA is filed under the name uncultured bacterium. RNAcentral describes it as "bacterial SSU rRNA". It matches the Rfam family "Bacterial small subunit ribosomal RNA", at positions 42 to 450 of the family's 1533-position model. The record is from RNAcentral.
UCAGGCCUAACACAUGCAAGUCGAACGAAGCCUUCGGGCUUAGUGGCGCACGGGUGCGUAACGCGUGGGAAUCUACCCUGGGGUUCGGAAUAACACAGAGAAAUUUGUGCUAAUACCGGAUGAUAUCGAGAGAUCAAAGAUUUAUCGCCCUUGGAUGAGCCCGCGUAGGAUUAGCUUGUUGGUGGGGUAAUGGCCUACCAAGGCGACGAUCCUUAGCUGGUCUGAGAGGAUGAUCAGCCACACUGGGACUGAGACACGGCCCAGACUCCUACGGGAGGCAGCAGUGGGGAAUAUUAGAGAAUGGGCGCAAGCCUGAUCCAGCAAUGCCGCGUAUAAAGAGAGGCCUUAGGGUUGUAAAGCUCUUUACCAGGGAUGAUA